UUUUUUUAACAGGGUUGAAGCAAAGGCAUUUAUUUCAUCUUGUUAGGUGAAAGAUGGUUGUUUAUUUUGUUCAACUGGUGUUCAUGCAAUGAAAACUGCCUAUAAUCAUUUUCCAAUCGAUGAUUCCUGCAACAAGCUCAGACUUAAAAGAGUUAAAGUAACUGGAGGUAAAGAAGUAUGUGAAGGAUUUAAUUUCCCAACUACAGAGUACUCCAAAGAAUUAAAGUUUUGGUGGAUAAGGAUCGAGGAAUAAUAUGGUUUUAACUGGUUUCGAUCUUAUGAACAAAAUUCUGUAUCUCAAUAAUAUCCUGACCUAUCAAAUUGAU
This is a long non-coding RNA of Hydra vulgaris (swiftwater hydra), 326 nucleotides long. RefSeq lists it as uncharacterized. The record is from RefSeq and is a predicted model, not a curated record. NCBI's taxonomy places the organism in Eukaryota, Metazoa, Cnidaria, Hydrozoa, Anthoathecata, Hydridae.